This 456-nucleotide long non-coding RNA is filed under the name Bos taurus (domestic cattle). RNAcentral describes it as "long non-coding RNA NONBTAT023067". Lineage: Eukaryota; Metazoa; Chordata; Mammalia; Artiodactyla; Bovidae. The record is from RNAcentral.
UUUAUGUAUAACCCAACAUCUUUUAGAACAUAGAAUGUUACCAGUUUGGCUUCACAGAACACAAAUUCCUGUUUAAAAAUUUUUCUAGCCAAGGAACAAAGUAAAUUUCAACAGCAUCUUAAACUAAUUUAGCUGGCCCUGAGUGUAUUAGUAAUUUGCAUGAUUUUGAAUUAAUGUAUAUAAUACACUUUCAUCUGUUAUCUACUUAUAUUUACUAGCAUACUACCAUUUUGUCUAUAUCCAUUCAUCUCAAUUUUCUACCUCAUUAAUCUUUGAGAGAAAGCACAAAGAAAGGGGAAGUAAUAAUAAGAGACUCAGAGGAGAAAACUACUGAUACGGGCUCAAUCUUUUCUACCCAGAAUCUGGGGCCCAGCUCUAGGUUACCCGAUAUACUUAGUAACAAGAUGCUAUUAAUGUGAGUAAUCUGAGUAACCUUCUGUCAAUUGAGGUUGAUGU